This 492-nucleotide ribosomal RNA is filed under the name uncultured bacterium. RNAcentral describes it as "partial 16S ribosomal RNA". It matches the Rfam family "Bacterial small subunit ribosomal RNA", at positions 29 to 507 of the family's 1533-position model. The record is from RNAcentral.
AGUGAACGCUGGCGGUAGGCCUAACACAUGCAAGUCGAACGGCAGCACAGUAAGAGCUUGCCCUUACGGGUGGCGAGUGGCGGACGGGUGAGGAAUACAUCGGAAUCUACUUUUUCGUGGGGGAUAACGUAGGGAAACUUACGCUAAUACCGCAUACCACCUACGGGUGAAAGCAGGGGAUCUUCGGACCUUGCGCGAUUGAAUGAGCCGAUGUCGGAUUAGCUAGUUGGCGGGGUAAAGGCCCACCAAGGCGACGAUCCGUAGCUGGUCUGAGAGGAUGAUCAGCCACACUGGAACUGAGACACGGUCCAGACUCCUACGGGAGGCAGCAGUGGGGAAUAUUGGACAAUGGGCGCAAGCCUGAUCCAGCCAUACCGCGUGGGUGAAGAAGGCCUUCGGGUUGUAAAGCCCUUUUGUUGGGAAAGAAAAGCAGCAGGUUAAUACCCCGCUGUUCUGACGGUACCCAAAGAAUAAGCACCGGCUAACUUCGUG